This 1352-nucleotide long non-coding RNA is filed under the name Betta splendens (Siamese fighting fish). RNAcentral describes it as "lncRNA (ENSBSLG00000009288.1)". Lineage: Eukaryota; Metazoa; Chordata; Actinopteri; Anabantiformes; Osphronemidae. The record is from RNAcentral.
CUGCAAUGUUUGUGGAAUAAUAACUUAAUUAAAUGCAAUAAUUUCCAGGAGCCCUGCGGCUGGAGACUGCAGGUCACAAGUGUUGCACAACAGAGUAAUGAGCGUAACGUUAUGCAAACGUCUGGAUCUCACUGCAGCUAAAACGAGGCAAAGUGAAGGAGCGAGUCAGGGGAGAGGCUGCGCGUUUAUGAAUUAGACAUGGAGGUUAGGUAAUGCACGGAGAAGGACGGGAACGCUCUAAACCCGUCUGCUUCCAGUCUCGACAGAGCAAAACAGGUAAUGGAGCUGGCGGAGUUUGACAAGCUGCAUGAAUAUUUCAUAGUGUAAUUCAUGGAUCACUAUUUGCACAGCGAGGAGGAGGAGGAGCUGCAGGAAUUGAAGGAAAACCACACACAUUUCCAGAAAACUUUGAUGCGUGCCAGCUUUUGUUUCACGCACAGAACACGGGCCGCCGUCUGGUGGAACCACACGAACCCCUGCCCUGCAGCCGCACAGGCUCCAGGGAACAGGAGCAACGUGGACGGGAGCUGUUGGCUGCAGCUGCAGGUACUGUGGGACCCCCUGCGGAGACCCUGCUUUAGAAGCCUACAGGCAUCUUGUACCAGUGGGCGCUUUAUUGGGUCAGUGAGAGCGUUCGGGUCAGAGCCGGUCUCGCUCCCAGUCCUUGUUUACAGGUUUGUUUGUGCUCUUUGGCGCUGGAUGGAUCUGAGCCCGGGGGAAACGUGACUGAAUGAAUUACUACAGGACGCAGUAAAGACGCCUGUUACAGAGGCGUGGUCUCGUCAUUACUUUACGUUUAUUUACGAGUCAAACGUGCGUCUUUUCAUAAGUUUGACGCUUUAAUGCUGGAUCGGCUUCUCCUGCCUCUUUGUCCCCACAUUUGCACCUCCUGAACCGAGCUGAGAGCACGGGCGAAAACCUCCCGGACUCAAAAUGUUUCCCCUUUUCCACAGAUUUAUUGCAGCUGAAUGAAAGGAAAACAGAUGAGUUUAUGAUGCGAACGUGGCAGUGGGACAUUAAGUGGUUAGAGGCUGUAAAUCAGACACUGAUUAAAUCUGUCUGGGCCAGACUUGUCCAUUUGCCUUGAGAGCAAAACUGACCUGAUUUGGGCGAUUUUCCUGACAGCUCUGUACAUCACAGGGGGCACAUUUCACACCAUUACAGCUAUCUGUGAGUCCAUUCUACUUCAAAGGUACAAUAUUCUCCAUAGCUUUUAAAGGACUUGGGGAAAUCUUCCCCCUGUAAACGGUCAGCAUCAUGUCUCAUAGAGUGCAUUCUGUCAGGACGUAUAUUCAUACGCUGCUUUUUUCCUAUGCGCUCGUUUAGUAAAAGAAUUUUUCCUUUUCCCUGCA